ACGACUCUCGGCAACGGAUAUCUCGGCUCUCGCAUCGAUGAAGAACGUAGCGAAAUGCGAUACCUGGUGUGAAUUGCAGAAUCCCGCGAACCAUCGAGUCUUUGAACGCAAGUUGCGCCCGAGGCCACCAGGCCGAGGGCACGCCUGCCUGGGCGUCACGC
RNAcentral lists this ribosomal RNA (161 nucleotides) under Danthoniastrum compactum. RNAcentral's name for it is "5.8S ribosomal RNA". It matches the Rfam family "5.8S ribosomal RNA". From Rfam's summary of the family: 5.8S ribosomal RNA (5.8S rRNA) is a component of the large subunit of the eukaryotic ribosome. Lineage: Eukaryota; Viridiplantae; Streptophyta; Magnoliopsida; Poales; Poaceae. The record is from RNAcentral.